UAGGGAAUCUUCGGCAAUGGACGAAAGUCUGACCGAGCAACGCCGCGUGAGUGAAGAAGGUUUUCGGAUCGUAAAACUCUGUUGUUAGAGAAGAACAAGGACGUUAGUAACUGAACGUCCCCUGACGGUAUCUAACCAGAAAGCCACGGCUAACUACGUGCCAGCAGCCGCGGUAAUACGUAGGUGGCAAGCGUUGUCCGGAUUUAUUGGGCGUAAAGCGAGCGCAGGCGGUUUCUUAAGUCUGAUGUGAAAGCCCCCGGCUCAACCGGGGAGUGUCAUUGGAAUCUGGGAGACUUGAGUGCAGAAGAGGAGAGUGGAAUUCCAUGUGUAGCGGUGAAAUGCGUAGAUAUAUGGAGGAACACCAGUGGCGAAGGCGGCUCUCUGGUCUGUACCUGACGCUGAGGCUCGAAAGCGUGGGGAGCAAACAGG
RNAcentral lists this ribosomal RNA (429 nucleotides) under Chloroflexota bacterium. RNAcentral describes it as "Chloroflexi bacterium partial 16S ribosomal RNA". It matches the Rfam family "Bacterial small subunit ribosomal RNA", at positions 355 to 776 of the family's 1533-position model. The record is from RNAcentral. Lineage: Bacteria; Bacillati; Chloroflexota.